UCUUGCGCUCCCGGGAUAUGCCUGGGAGCAUGCUUGUCGGGGAGGAGGAGGCGAAAACUCGCYCACAGCUUUGGGUUCGAUCUCGAUCUCAAGGCGGUGGAGCGGAAUCUGAGUGUUCCGGGGAGCGGUGGUGUGGUGUGUAUUUUUGUACAAGCUGCCUGCUCGUCCCCUGAGUCCACCAAAGCCUAGAGAGCUACCGAUUGUCCAGGCUUCUAUUGUCUUUGCGGCGCUGUAGACCGGUCCACCUUGCGUCCUCCGGAAGAUCCGUUGUUGACCGCGCCCCCUCUCACGGGGCGGGGACACCNACNAGKCGCCAGGGAUGUGCGCGGGUGACCAUGAGGCAUCGCUGGAGGCAAGUUUACCUUGCGUCCUCCGGAGGAUCCGUUGUUSACGGCGCCCCUCUUGAGGGGUGGGGACAC
RNAcentral lists this unclassified non-coding RNA (419 nucleotides) under Sargassum cristaefolium. Its description in RNAcentral is "sequence contains 5.8S rRNA gene, ITS2 and 28S rRNA gene". The record is from RNAcentral. Lineage: Eukaryota; Phaeophyceae; Fucales; Sargassaceae.